UGCUGGAGGUAUCAGAAGUGCGAAUGCUGACAUAAGUAACGAUAAAGCGGGUGAAAAGCCCGCUCGCCGGAAGACCAAGGGUUCCUGUCCAACGUUAAUCGGGGCAGGGUGAGUCGACCCCUAAGGCGAGGCCGAAAGGCGUAGUCGAUGGGAAACAGGUUAAUAUUCCUGUACUUGGUGUUACUGCGAAGGGGGGACGGAGAAGGCUAUGUUGGCCGGGCGACGGUUGUCCCGGUUUAAGCGUGUAGGCUGGUUUUCCAGGCAAAUCCGGAAAAUCAAGGCUGAGGCGUGAUGACGAGGCACUACGGUGCUGAAGCAACAAAUGCCCUGCUUCCAGGAAAAGCCUCUAAGCAUCAGGUAACAUCAAAUCGUACCCCAAACCGACACAGGUGGUCAGGUAGAGAAUACCAAGGCGCUUGAGAGAACUCGGGUGAAGGAACUAGGCAAAAUGGUGCCGUAACUUCGGGAGAAGGCACGCUGAUACGUAGGUGAAGUCCCUCGCGGAUGGAGCUGAAAUCAGUCGAAGAUACCAGCUGGCUGCAACUGUUUAUUAAAAACACAGCACUGUGCAAACACGAAAGUGGACGUAUACGGUGUGACGCCUGCCCGGUGCCGGAAGGUUAAUUGAUGGGGUUAGCGGUAACGCGAAGCUCUUGAUCGAAGCCCCGGUAAACGGCGGCCGUAACUAUAACGGUCCUAAGGUAGCGAAAUUCCUUGUCGGGUAAGUUCCGACCUGCACGAAUGGCGUAAUGAUGGCCAGGCUGUCUCCACCCGAGACUCAGUGAAAUUGAACUCGCUGUGAAGAUGCAGUGUACCCGCGGCAAGACGGAAAGACCCCGUGAACCUUUACUAUAGCUUGACACUGAACAUUGAGCCUUGAUGUGUAGGAUAGGUGGGAGGCUUUGAAGUGUGGACGCCAGUCUGCAUGGAGCCGACCUUGAAAUACCACCCUUUAAUGUUUGAUGUUCUAACGUUGGCCCCUAAUCGGGGUUGCGGACAGUGUCUGGUGGGUAGUUUGACUGGGGCGGUCUCCUCCUAAAGAGUAACGGAGGAGCACGAAGGUUGGCUAAUCCUGGUCGGACAUCAGGAGGUUAGUGCAAUGGCAUAAGCCAGCUUGACUGCGAGCGUGACGGCGCGAGCAGGUGCGAAAGCAGGUCAUAGUGAUCCGGUGGUUCUGAAUGGAAGGGCCAUCGCUCAACGGAUAAAAGGUACUCCGGGGAUAACAGGCUGAUACCGCCCAAGAGUUCAUAUCGACGGCGGUGUUUGGCACCUCGAUGUCGGCUCAUCACAUCCUGGGGCUGAAGUAGGUCCCAAGGGUAUGGCUGUUCGCCAUUUAAAGUGGUACGCGAGCUGGGUUUAGAACGUCGUGAGACAGUUCGGUCCCUAUCUGCCGUGGGCGCUGGAGAACUGAGGGGGGCUGCUCCUAGUACGAGAGGACCGGAGUGGACGCAUCACUGGUGUUCGGGUUGUCAUGCCAAUGGCACUGCCCGGUAGCUAAAUGCGGAAGAGAUAAGUGCUGAAAGCAUCUAAGCACGAAACUUGCCCCGAGAUGAGUUCUCCCUGACUCCUUGAGAGUCCUGAAGGAACGUUGAAGACGACGACGUUGAUAGGCCGGGUGUGUAAGCGCAGCGAUGCGUUGAGCUAACCGGUACUAAUGAACCGUGAGGCUUAACCUU
This 1676-nucleotide ribosomal RNA is filed under the name Escherichia coli. RNAcentral's name for it is "partial 23S ribosomal RNA". It matches the Rfam family "Bacterial large subunit ribosomal RNA", at positions 1271 to 2925 of the family's 2925-position model. Lineage: Bacteria; Pseudomonadati; Pseudomonadota; Gammaproteobacteria; Enterobacterales; Enterobacteriaceae. The record is from RNAcentral.